CAGCCGCCACGGUAAUACGGAGGGUGCAAGCGUUACUCGGAAUCACUGGGCGUAAGGGACGCGUAGGCGGAUUAUCAAGUCUCUUGUGAAAUCUAACGGCUUAACCGUUAAACUGCUUGGGAAACUGAUAAUCUAGAGUAAGGGAGAGGCAGAUGGAAUUCUCGGUGUAGGGGUAAAAUCCGUAGAUAUCAAGAAGAAUACCUAUUGCGAAGGCGAUCUGCUGGAACUUAACUGACGCUAAUGCGUGAAAGCGUGGGGAGCAAACAGGAUUAGAUACCCGAGUAGUCCCUGUCUCUUAUAC
Molecule: ribosomal RNA, 301 nt
Filed under: uncultured bacterium
Lineage: Bacteria
Description: partial 16S ribosomal RNA
Rfam family: Bacterial small subunit ribosomal RNA
Source: RNAcentral